RNAcentral lists this ribosomal RNA (405 nucleotides) under uncultured bacterium. RNAcentral's name for it is "bacterial SSU rRNA". It matches the Rfam family "Bacterial small subunit ribosomal RNA", at positions 355 to 776 of the family's 1533-position model. The record is from RNAcentral.
CGGGGAAUCUUGCGCAAUGGGCGAAAGCCUGACGCAGCAACGCCGCGUGGGGGAUGAAGGCCUUCGGGUUGUAAACCCCUUUCAGCAGGGACGAAAUUGACGGUACCUGCAGAAGAAGCACCGGCCAACUACGUGCCAGCAGCCGCGGUAAUACGUAGGGUGCAAGCGUUGUCCGGAUUCAUUGGGCGUAAAGGGCUAGUAGGCGGCUUGGCAAGUCGGAUGUGAAAACUCCAGGCUCAACCUGGAGACGCCACCCGAUACUGCCAUGGCUAGAGUUCGGUAGGGGAUCACGGAAUACCUGGCGUAGCGGUGAAAUGCAUAGAUAUCAGGUGGAACACCGGUGGCGAAGGCGGUGAUCUGGGCCGACACUGACGCUGAAUAGCGAAAGCGUGGGUAGCAAACAGG